This 52-nucleotide non-coding RNA is filed under the name unclassified sequences. RNAcentral's name for it is "S4-Clostridia ribosomal protein leader". It matches the Rfam family "S4-Clostridia ribosomal protein leader". The record is from RNAcentral.
GAAAGGCUGUAUGGGUGCAUACAGCUGGGUGUCUAUGCACACCCCAGUCAGA